CAGGAUGAACGCUAGCGACAGGCUAACACAUGCAAGUCGAGGGGUAACAGGGUAGCAAUACCGCUGACGACCGGCGCACGGGUGAGUAACGCGUAUGCAACCUGCCUAUAACUGGGGAAUAGCUCCCUGAAAGGGGAAUUAACACCGCAUAACACUAUUGAUUCGCAUGGAUUGGUAGUUAUAUGUAGCGAUACAGGUUAUAGAUGGGCAUGCGUGACAUUAGCUAGUUGGUGAGGUAACGGCUCACCAAGGCUACGAUGUCUAGGGGUUCUGAGAGGAAGGUCCCCCACACUGGUACUGAGACACGGACCAGACUCCUACGGGAGGCAGCAGUGAGGAAUAUUGGUCAAUGGGCGCAAGCCUGAACCAGCCAUGUCGCGUGCAGGAAGAACCUGCCCUAUGGGUUGUAAACUGCUUUUAUAGUAGAAGAAACACAUCUACGUGUAGAUGUCUGCCAGUAUACUAUGAAUAAGCAUCGGCUAACUCCGUGCCAGCCGCCGC
This 501-nucleotide ribosomal RNA is filed under the name uncultured bacterium. Its description in RNAcentral is "bacterial SSU rRNA". It matches the Rfam family "Bacterial small subunit ribosomal RNA", at positions 25 to 518 of the family's 1533-position model. The record is from RNAcentral.